UGUCAGUAGGCUGGGUGCAGCAAGACCAUGAACCCUCUCCAGGAGGGAAGGAAAACAAGCACAAGGGAUGGACUGGGGAAAGGAAUAGCCAGACCCUGUGCUACUAUUAAGGAUUUGCCUUGCCCAAACCUGCAUCUCCAAGGCUAAAAAGGACUGGGCCUGCUGAGGAGAGGAAGGUACUUUGCCACAAGAUGAUGACUUGUUAUACAAUAUAUCUUCACCUACUAUCAUCGGUGAUACCCAUUUUACAGAUGAAAAAUCAAGUCACAGAGAGACUAAAUAACUUGGCCCUGGUCACUCAGGAAGUCUAUGAUGGAGCAGGAAACUGAAUCCAGGUUUCCCAAGUCCCAGCCUAGUAUCCAGACCAUUGAACCAUCCUUUCUUUGGACCCUGGUCUUUUAAUGAUUCCUGAAUAAAUGAAUUAAUAGCAGAGAUGUGUGCUGGCAAAGGACAGCUCUUGGGAUCAAGAAAAUGUGUUGAGGAUGGGAAACAGCAACUCACUGAAAACAAUGAACAUCCCUGUGAUUUCUAUACAAUCUGUUUUCUUCUCAAAUUAGUGAGAUAUAAUCUGUGCAUGCGUGCGUUUGAGUGUAUGUAUACACUUAUCCUGAAGGUAGUAGGGAGUCAUCACCCAGCAACUUAAAGUAAGGCCUGGGAGUCAGUGAACAUUUGUCGGGCACACUUAAACAUUCUCUCUUUUAUGUGACUCUUCCACUAUCUGUGCAGGGUAAUGAACAGUGCAUUGGGACAGGGACUCUCUUAGUCAAAAUAAGGCACUGCUCUUAUAAUUACGUGAAUUUAAUCUCUAGCUACAUGUGUUAGUUACAGGUGAAGCUCAAUGAUUUUGGAAAUUCAAACCUUUUAAGAUGAUCUCACAGACCCAAUUCUCUCUAGCUAUCCCUGCCUCUUUCCUACCUGUACUUCAUGGUCCUCUCUUUACCAACAACAAAAGGUGGUACUGUGGGACAUAACUGACUUUUAGAAGACCCGGAGUGAAGAAAGUGGUACACCAGAGCACAGCAAGGAGAGACCAAUCGGAGUGUCUGUGGGAAGGAGUUUGGAGAUUGGUGAGAGGAUGGUUGGCUUUAGCCUUUACCUUAUUUGUCAAGAAGCAGUUCACCCUUCCCUACCUUUUACAGUGCCUGCCCUCACUUUCACAAAUAUUUAUGGCUUUUAUCUAUGUCAACUGAAUGCCAACUCCCUGUUGAUAAACUGAUGGAGCAUGAUGGUUGCCUGCACUGAAGGAUAUCAGUUAGGGCACUUAGGCAGAUUACUAUUAAAUGGCUACAUUUUACUGUUGCAUGUAGUGUAGUUGUAGCUAGGUCAG
This is a long non-coding RNA of Mauremys reevesii (Reeves's turtle), 1327 nucleotides long. RefSeq lists it as uncharacterized. The transcript is spliced from 3 exons. Lineage: Eukaryota; Metazoa; Chordata; Testudines; Geoemydidae. The record is from RefSeq and is a predicted model, not a curated record.